This 225-nucleotide long non-coding RNA is filed under the name Phoenix dactylifera (date palm). Its description in RNAcentral is "long non-coding RNA (PDAC_LNC012454)". Lineage: Eukaryota; Viridiplantae; Streptophyta; Magnoliopsida; Arecales; Arecaceae. The record is from RNAcentral.
AUAAUCUAAGUUUCAGAGCAUCAUCAGUGAAGUUCUGAAUCUUGACAGUGGUGCAAAUCUCAAGAAAUUUAUCUAGGUGUUUAUAUGGGUCUUCGUUGGUGAGCCCAUAAAAAGAUGGGAGCAUUUGGAUCAUACUAGACUUUAUUUCAUAUUGUACAGCUGCUACCUCAGGUAAUCGAAUGCAAGAUGGAGAAGUGUAAAUGGUGGGAGUAAAGUACUCCCUCA